Anguilla rostrata (American eel) is the source of this 906-nucleotide long non-coding RNA. RefSeq lists it as uncharacterized. The record is from RefSeq and is a predicted model, not a curated record. NCBI's taxonomy places the organism in Eukaryota, Metazoa, Chordata, Actinopteri, Anguilliformes, Anguillidae. The transcript has 2 exons.
AGCAGUUCGCCACAGCCACGGUGCUCUGCGCAAGUGCAUUCGUAAAACUAGUUAUUUAAUUCCAUGAAAUAUGGAGUAAAUUGAAAUCAUUGAACGGAAUACCAGAAGGAUCACUGGAAUGUAAAAAUGGAAUAGAAGAUACUUUCAAGAUCAGCACAUGCUGACGAGGUUCACUAUGAAUGGAAGUAAAUCCCUGCAACAAUGCUCCAACAUCAAGUAUAAAGCCUUCCCAGAAGAGUGGAGGUUGUUAUAACAGCAAAGGGUGGACAAACUCCAUAGUAAUUCCCAUCAUUUUGGAUGAGAUGUUGGAUGUCAGGUGUCCACAUACUGUUGGCCAUGUAGUGUAUAUUAAUAAUAUUGUGAGCAUUCAGAGAAAAUAUUUUGUGUGUGUGUGUAAACCAUUUAACUUCAACAGAAAUGUACACGUUGUCAUAAAGAAUAGGGUAACGAUAUGAUAAGAUCAAUGACAGGUAGUCCUGCAGGGUAGUGGGUAAUUGCCCAUAGCAUAGUCCAGGGAGGGUGGGCUACAGUCAGCAGAGAAUCCCUGUCUCAUUACACAAGAGGGGCUCAUUUUCUCCAAUGACUGCACAGUUUACUAGGUGAACUGCUGUACUGCAGAGUGAAAAUAAGUAACAGCCCUCUGAAAAUUUAAUAGGGAAUUCCAAAGUGAGAGGAAAAAGGAAUAAGGGUCACAUCAGUGUUUACAUUUCAAAAAUGUACAACAAUCACAUUUCAGAGUUAAAUUAUGCACUUAGCACACAGUCGUAAGUUAAGCCCCCACAAAAAGCACUAAGAAAAUAUAAAGCAUUUAAUUGCAGAUUAGGGUUCAUGGACAGUUUCUUUGCCAUCAUCUGAAAAUACACUUAAUGGUCAAAUUCCAACUUCAGCCUACAAAAAAAAAAGAAA